AAGCACAUUAAUAAUGUAUUUAUUGUAGUUUAAUAAAAAGCUUAUUAUAUAUUUAGAUGGACUAACAUAUUUCUCUAAGGAUUCUAAGAAUCAUUCUAGUGAUGAUACGUGGCUACAAAAAAAUGUUACAAUGCUUAAAUAAUAAUAUAUAGAUGAUCAUCUGCAAGAUUCUCCUUUAUUCAUUAUUUUAUUAAACUUUUGAAUUCAUUUUGUCCUAAUACAAGACAAAAUAAAAUGUUAAUAACUCCGUCGGUUCAGUCAUUAUAAAAUAAAGUAAAAAAAUACAUAUCAUUUACACGUGUCGAAUAAGUAUUAGUACACGUCAGUAAGGUGAAAGUGAAAGAAAAAAACAUCGACGUCGAAACCAAACCGGUAAAAAAGACAUAACACCACCAUGUCUGUUGUUAUUGUUAGCUUCGGUCCUACACAGCCAAACAGAGAGAAGAAGCACUAGUAGAAAGAAGAAGAAGAUCAGAGACUUAGUCCUAACUCUAGAUUAAUCAUCAGAGAACAUGCGAGAGACUUGAAGCUUAUCAUCAUCAUCAAUGUGUUCUUCUCUGUUAUCAAUCACGUGACUUUGCAACUUUCUCUUCUCUCUCUCGUUUCUCUCAAAGAAAAAAAACUUCCGUGACGCACGGUGGUUCAUGGCGGUGGAUGUUGAAUCCGUGCUUCAGUUUCUCCGACGUAACGGCUUAACGGAGGCUGAGUCUGCUCUGAGAGACGAUAUCAACGAGAAGAACCGGCUCGCUUCUUUCGACUUCGAGAAGUUUCUCUUUCCGAUUCCUCCGCCGAUCAGAACCACCGUCGAAGAUUCCGGCGAUAACGGUUCGAAGUCUUCUUCUUCCGACGACGAGUUUGUCAGCUUGGACUCUUCCACUUCUGGCUUCUGUUCUUCUUCCGGUUUUGUGAAUCCGUAUGGAGAUGGUUCACCAUCAUCAUCUGAAUCACAGUCUCAAUUUGGUACGGCUCGUACUUACCCUGAGUGGAGUGAGUUUUACUCCCAGACCAACAACAAGGAAGAGACAGAAGAUGAAGAAGAAGAAGAAGAGUUCAUGUCUCCUGCGUUUAGAGAAUCUGAUUUCUUCAUCUUCCCUGGAACUACACAGGAUAAGUACAUCACUGAUAACCAAUUCGAAAAUAAUCUUGGUGUCUACGAUAAAUCAUCAGAAGGAUCUCAAACCGAAACAAGUCUUGAUUACUUAGAUAAGUCUUUUCUUGUUAACAAUGUUGAGGAUCACUACAUUGGUUUGGAUGAUAAAACCGCUCAACUGGAAGAAGAAGAAGAAGAUGCAAAAGACAAUGAUGAUUUUAAGACCGGUGAUCAAGUGAAUGUAACAGAUGAAGAGGUUAAUGUUGUUCAUGACCUUGAAGAAGAGGAGUAUGAAGUGUUUGAUCUAAGAAUCAUUCACUGGAAAAACAGGACGGGGUUCGAAGAGAACAAGGAUCUACCGAUUGUGCUGAACUCAGUGAUUGGAGGAAGGUACUACAUUACUGAAUACAUUGGCUCAGCUGCAUUUAGCAAGGUGGUUCAGGCUCAAGAUCUACACAACGGUGUCGAUGUCUGCCUCAAGAUUAUCAAGAACGACAAAGAUUUCUUUGAUCAGAGUUUAGACGAGAUCAAACUCCUAAAACAUGUCAAUAAGCAUGACCCUGCUGAUGAACAUCACAUCUUGCGCCUGUAUGAUUACUUCUACCACCAAGAACAUCUGUUUAUCGUCUGUGAACUUCUCAGAGCAAACUUAUAUGAGUUCCAGAAAUUCAACCAAGAAUCCGGAGGAGAACCAUACUUUAAUUUAAGCAGACUUCAGGUUAUAACGAGACAGUGUCUGGAUGCUCUUGUGUUCCUUCAUGGACUAGGAAUCAUACAUUGUGAUCUCAAGCCAGAGAAUAUACUUAUAAAGAGUUACAAAAAAUGCGAGGUGAAAAUCAUUGAUCUUGGAAGCAGUUGUUUCCGCUCUGACAACUUGUCAUUGUAUGUACAAUCACGUUCCUAUAGAGCUCCUGAAGUGAUUCUUGGACUUCCAUAUGAUGAGAAGAUUGAUUUAUGGUCUCUUGGAUGUAUUUUAGCAGAGCUUUGCUCUGGUUCUGUUUCCAAAUGAAGCAGUAGCGAUGAUAUUGGCUCGGAUUGUUGCGGUUUUAGGUCCUAUAGAAACGGUAAUGCUAGAGAAAGGUCAAGAGACGGAUAAGUACUUCACCAAAGAGUUUGAUAUUUACCACUUAAACGAGGAGAGCAAUGAGGUUGAAUACAUAAUCACAGAAGAGUCUUGCUUGGAAGAUCAGUUACAUGUUAGUGAUGAACUGUUCUUGGAUUUUGUAAGAAGUCUACUUGAGAUCAAUCCAUUGAGACGUCCAACAGCUCUUGAGGCACUUAACCACCCCUGGCUCUCUUCUUCUUCUUACAAUUGAUUUUUGAGUUUUUAUUGGCUUAUAGUGUUGCCUUGUUCUGUCUGAUUCUUUGUUUCUGUUCUGUUUUUAUUUUCUUGAUUUUGAUUGUGUUUUUGUUUUGUAAUUGUGUGAUUAAUUGUGUAUAGAACUGUUUACAUUAAUUUCACAUUGUAAAUACAAUAUAUAUUUGGUUGCUCUA
This is an RNA transcript of Brassica rapa (field mustard), 2584 nucleotides long. It is a transcript of the gene named serine/threonine-protein kinase ppk15, with no coding region annotated. The record is from RefSeq and is a predicted model, not a curated record. NCBI's taxonomy places the organism in Eukaryota, Viridiplantae, Streptophyta, Magnoliopsida, Brassicales, Brassicaceae.